UCCUCUCCAAUGUAGGUGUUGGUGGA
Molecule: unclassified non-coding RNA, 26 nt
Filed under: Mus musculus (house mouse)
Lineage: Eukaryota; Metazoa; Chordata; Mammalia; Rodentia; Muridae
Description: oocyte_clustered_small_RNA7963
Source: RNAcentral